CCCCAUUAUUCCCCAUUCUCCAUUAUUCCCCAUUCCCCAUUCCCAUUCCCCAUUAUUCCCCAUUAUUCCCCAUUCCUGGCUCCACCUGUGGUUCCUGGGGAAGCUCUGGAGCCACCCAGGGGCACAAGGGACAGAGCCCAGCGCCCCCCAGCAGGACAGGGACCCGCUCCCUCCCUGGGGACAUCCCGCGAUUCAGGGCCAUUUCUGAGGCCAUCGGGGUCCCUGAGGGGCAGCUGAUCCCGGGGCUGGGGCCGGGAGGAGCCCUCGGUGCCCGAGCUCAGAGCUCCGGGAGGCUCCAGGUGAAGGUGCCACGGUCUGGGCAGCGGGGACAAGCCUGGGAGCAGCACGGGGACAGCACGGGGACAGCACGGAGUGUCAGGGGGACAGCAGGGAGUGUCACCAGAGUGUCACAGCCCCUGCCCAGGGACAGCACAGAGUGUCACCAGUGUCACAGCCCCUGCCCGGGACAGCAGGGAGUGUCACAGCCCCUGCCCAGGGACAGCAGGCAGUGUCACCAGUGUCACAGCCCCUGCCCGGGACAGCACAGAGUGUCACUGGAGUGUCACAGCCCCUGCCCAAGGGACAGCAGGCAGUGUCACCAGUGUCCCAGCCCCUGCCCAGGGACA
RNAcentral lists this long non-coding RNA (626 nucleotides) under Camarhynchus parvulus. Its description in RNAcentral is "lncRNA (ENSCPVG00000015392.2)". Lineage: Eukaryota; Metazoa; Chordata; Aves; Passeriformes; Thraupidae. The record is from RNAcentral.